AGAAUCAACGCUGGCGGCGUGCCUAACACAUGCAAGUCGAACGAGAAAGUGGAGCAAUCCAUGAGUAAAGUGGCGACCGGGUGAGUAACACGUGACUAACCUACCUUCGAGUGGGGGAUAACAUCGGGAAACCGAUGCUAAUACCGCAUAACAUCGCAAGAUCAAAGCAGCAAUGCGCUGGAAGAGGGGGUCGCGGCUGAUUAGCUAGUUGGCGGGGUAACGGCCCACCAAGGCGAAGAUCGGUAGCCGGCCUGAGAGGGCGCACGGCCACACUGGAACUGAAACACGGUCCAGACUCCUACGGGAGGCAGCAGUGGGGAAUUUUGCGCAAUGGGGGAAACCCUGACGCAGCAACGCCGCGUGGAGGAUGAAGCCCCUUGGGGCGUAAACUCUUUUCGACCAAGACGAUAAUGACGGUACUGGUGGAAGAAGCACCGGCUAACUCUGCGCCAGCAGCCGC
RNAcentral lists this ribosomal RNA (460 nucleotides) under uncultured bacterium. RNAcentral describes it as "SSU rRNA". It matches the Rfam family "Bacterial small subunit ribosomal RNA", at positions 26 to 518 of the family's 1533-position model. The record is from RNAcentral.